This 1367-nucleotide ribosomal RNA is filed under the name uncultured bacterium. Its description in RNAcentral is "bacterial SSU rRNA". It matches the Rfam family "Bacterial small subunit ribosomal RNA", at positions 28 to 1381 of the family's 1533-position model. The record is from RNAcentral.
GACGAACGCUGGCGGCGUGCCUAAUACAUGCAAGUAGAACGCUGAAGGAGGAGCUUGCUUCUCUGGAUGAGUUGCGAACGGGUGAGUAACGCGUAGGUAACCUGCCUGGUAGCGGGGGAUAACUAUUGGAAACGAUAGCUAAUACCGCAUAAGAGUGGAUGUUGCAUGACAUUUGCUUAAAAGGUGCACUUGCAUCACUACCAGAUGGACCUGCGUUGUAUUAGCUAGUUGGUGGGGUAAGGGCUCACCAAGGCGACGAUACAUAGCCGACCUGAGAGGGUGAUCGGCCACACUGGGACUGAGACACAGCCCAGACUCCUACGGGAGGCAGCAGUAGGGAAUCUUCGGCAAUGGACGGAAGUCUGACCGAGCAACGCCGCGUGAGUGAAGAAGGUUUUCGGAUCGUAAAGCUCUGUUGUAAGAGAAGAACGAGUGUGAGAGUGGAAAGUUCACACUGUGACGGUAUCUUACCAGAAAGGGACGGCUAACUACGUGCCAGCAGCCGCGGUAAUACGUAGGUCCCGAGCGUUGUCCGGAUUUAUUGGGCGUAAAGCGAGCGCAGGCGGUUAGAUAAGUCUGAAGUUAAAGGCUGUGGCUUAACCAUAGUAGGCUUUGGAAACUGUUUAACUUGAGUGCAAGAGGGGAGAGUGGAAUUCCAUGUGUAGCGGUGAAAUGCGUAGAUAUAUGGAGGAACACCGGUGGCGAAAGCGGCUCUCUGGCUUGUAACUGACGCUGAGGCUCGAAAGCGUGGGGAGCAAACAGGAUUAGAUACCCUGGUAGUCCACGCUGUAAACGAUGAGUGCUAGGUGUUAGACCCUUUCCGGGGUUUAGUGCCGUAGCUAACGCAUUAAGCACUCCGCCUGGGGAGUACGACCGCAAGGUUGAAACUCAAAGGAAUUGACGGGGGCCCGCACAAGCGGUGGAGCAUGUGGUUUAAUUCGAAGCAACGCGAAGAACCUUACCAGGUCUUGACAUCCCUCUGACCGCUCUAGAGAUAGAGUUUUCCUUCGGGACAGAGGUGACAGGUGGUGCAUGGUUGUCGUCAGCUCGUGUCGUGAGAUGUUGGGUUAAGUCCCGCAACGAGCGCAACCCCUAUUGUUAGUUGCCAUCAUUUAGUUGGGCACUCUAGCGAGACUGCCGGUAAUAAACCGGAGGAAGGUGGGGAUGACGUCAAAUCAUCAUGCCCCUUAUGACCUGGGCUACACACGUGCUACAAUGGCUGGUACAACGAGUCGCAAGCCGGUGACGGCAAGCUAAUCUCUUAAAGCCAGUCUCAGUUCGGAUUGUAGGCUGCAACUCGCCUACAUGAAGUCGGAAUCGCUAGUAAUCGCGGAUCAGCACGCCGCGGUGAAUACGUUCCCGGGCCU